Molecule: ribosomal RNA, 526 nt
Filed under: Macromia amphigena
Lineage: Eukaryota; Metazoa; Arthropoda; Insecta; Odonata; Macromiidae
Description: SSU rRNA
Rfam family: Eukaryotic small subunit ribosomal RNA
Source: RNAcentral
UAAAAAGCUCGUAGUCGGAGGUGUGUCUCGGACGGUCGGUUCGCCGCUUGUCGGUGCUCAACUGGCCGGUCCGGACGUCCUGCCGGUGGGGCUGUAAAAGGCUCCGUUAUCCUUCUUUGGUCCUCUUCACUGAGUGCCUUGGUGGGCCGGCACGUUUACUUUGAACAAAUUAGAGUGCUCAAAGCAGGCCGUUGGUCGCCUGAAUACUGUGUGCAUGGAAUAAUGGAAUAGGACCUCGGUUCCAUUUUGUUGGUUUUCAGAACUCGAGGUAAUGAUUAAUAGGGACGGACGGGGGCAUUCGUAUUGCGACGUUAGAGGUGAAAUUCUUGGAUCGUCGCAAGACGAACCGAUGCGAAAGCAUUUGCCAAGAACGUUUUCGUUGAUCAAGAACGAAAGUUAGAGGUUCGAAGGCGAUCAGAUACCGCCCUAGUUCUAACCAUAAACGAUGCCAGCUAGCCAUCCGCCGAAGUUCCUUAUAUGACUCGGCGGGCAGCUUCCGGGAAACCAAAGCUCUUGGGUUCCGGGG